Molecule: long non-coding RNA, 246 nt
Organism: Nothoprocta perdicaria
Lineage: Eukaryota; Metazoa; Chordata; Aves; Tinamiformes; Tinamidae
Exons: 2
Source: RefSeq, a predicted model, not a curated record
CAUGACCGCAGAGAAUGCUACCAGGGGAAAAUUUGACUGAUUCUUCCACUAAAUAUUCCAAACAAAAGGCACUUCUAGAGGCACUUGCAUCUGWCAGUUAAAGAUCUGAACAGGACUGGAAAGGUAUUAGUGACAGAAGAAAUUUSCCCCCACGCACAAACCCGUCAGUCCAACCCUGAGGUGAACUAAACAUCACUGAGAACAAAGAAGAGGAAUUGGAGCUUGCUAGACAUGACGAUUCUCAGG